AUGGAGUUGGGUUUGAGAUGGGUUUUUCUUGUUGCUGUUUUAAAAGGUGUCCAGUGUGAGGUGCAACUGGUGGAGUCUGGGGGAGGCUUAGUACCACCUGGGGGAUCCCUGAAACUCUCCUGUGCAGCCUCCAGAUUCACCUUUAGUGAUUACUACAUGGACUGUGUCCCCCAGGCUCCAGGGAAGGGGCUGGAGUGUGUUGGACAUAUUAGUAAAGAUGGUGGUAGUAUAUACUACCCAGACUCCGUGAAGGGCAGAUUCACCAGCUCCAGAGACAAUUCCAAGAGCCAGUUGUAUCUGCAGAUGAACAGCCUGAAAGCCGAGGACACUGCCGUGUAUUACUGUGUAAGACACCCAGUUAUGGGGCUUCAUUCUCCUCAGUCAUCAACUGUGCCAGGACAUGAACUUGGGAACCAACAAUCCAGUGAAGUAUCAAUGGCAUCAGAUCCUGCAGUGGCUCAGGGCUUCGUGUUGAUGGCAAACAUCUAUUGGGAUGAUGAUAAGUACUGCAGCCCAUCCCUGAAGAGCUGGCUUACCAUUUCCAAAGACAGGUUUGACAGCCAGGUGUUCCUCACAAUGACCAACAUGGACUAUAAAGACAUGGGCACCUAUUACUGUGCUCGAAGAAGACAGUGA
This is a non-coding RNA of Castor canadensis (American beaver), 636 nucleotides long. The record is from the annotation of a RefSeq genome assembly. NCBI's taxonomy places the organism in Eukaryota, Metazoa, Chordata, Mammalia, Rodentia, Castoridae.